GUCACGAUAGCUCAAAUGGUAGAGUAGCAGCGUAUCAAGCUGAAGGUCGUGGGUUCGAAUCCCACUCGUGACA
RNAcentral lists this transfer RNA (73 nucleotides) under Cimex lectularius (bed bug). It matches the Rfam family "tRNA". Rfam says of the family: Transfer RNA (tRNA) molecules are approximately 80 nucleotides in length. Their secondary structure includes four short double-helical elements and three loops (D, anti-codon, and T loops). The record is from Rfam by way of RNAcentral. Lineage: Eukaryota; Metazoa; Arthropoda; Insecta; Hemiptera; Cimicidae.